AACGUAGGAUCCGAGCGUUGUCCGGAAUCACUGGGUGUAAAGGGUGCGUAGGCGGGCUUGCGCGUCAAGGGUUAAAGACCUCGGCUCAACCGAGGGAAUGCCCUUGAUACGGCAGGCCUUGGGUGCGGGAGAGGAUGGUGGAAGUCCUGGUGUAGCGGUGAAAUGCGUAGAGAUCGGGAGGAACCCCGAAGGCGAAGGCAGCCAUCUGGACCGCCACUGACGCUGAGGCACGAAAGCGUGGGGAGCAAACAGG
This 253-nucleotide ribosomal RNA is filed under the name uncultured bacterium. RNAcentral describes it as "partial 16S ribosomal RNA". It matches the Rfam family "Bacterial small subunit ribosomal RNA", at positions 524 to 776 of the family's 1533-position model. The record is from RNAcentral.